Molecule: ribosomal RNA, 1748 nt
Filed under: Smilium peronii
Lineage: Eukaryota; Metazoa; Arthropoda; Thecostraca; Calanticomorpha; Calanticidae
Description: eukaryotic LSU rRNA
Rfam family: Eukaryotic large subunit ribosomal RNA
Source: RNAcentral
AGUGAAGUGGGAUGAGCUCAGCACCGAAGCCGGCCGCCGAGAGGCAGUCGUGCAAUGUGGUGUUCGGGAGGGCUCUGUCCGUGACGGGCGUUGGUCCAAGUCUCCUGGAAAGGAGUUCCGUGGAGGGUGACAGGCCCGUGCGACCAAUUGCCACGCUUGCGGAUGAGUUCUCCUUCGAGUCGGGUUGUUCGCUAAUGCAGCCCCAAGCAGGUGGUAAGCUCCAUCUAAGGCUAAAUAUAACCACGAGUCCGAUAGUCAACAAGUACAGUGAUGGAAAGUUGAAAAGUACUCUGAAGAGAGAGUCAAAUAGCCCGUGAAGCUGCCAGUAUGGGAUUAAGCGCACGUGUGACGCGUGUCGUCUCGACAAAUAGGCGACUCUCGGCUGCGAUGUGCGAGCGUAUUCGGCGGCGCGUCUAGCGGCGUGCUCGUUGGUCGUUUGCACAGUGCGUGGUCGGGAGCACGCUUCCCUUUGUUGAACAUUGACAGGUCGGGGCUUCGUUGCUCGGUCUUAUUGCCGGUUACAAUCUGCAGAGCCGUGUCGGGCCGGUGUACACUCUCGGGUGUGUGCCGGUGCUCCGUCGAAUGUGCACGUUCGCGUGGCGACGGCCGGCCUGGUCUGCGGUGUGAUGUGACCGCGUUUGCGAACGACUGAGCGACGGCCAGCGCAAAUCGAUCAUUCGGUCGGCUCGGCCUUUGCGUCGUCAUGUGCGGCCCGUCUUGAAACACGGACCAAGGAGUCUAACAUGUGAGCGAGCGAUUGAGAUUGUCUAAUCUCAAACGCGCAAUGAAAGUGAAGUGUCGUCUGACGGCACGAGCGGAGAUCGUCGGUCAUUCGUGGCCGACGCGCAUCCGCGGGCCGCGCCAUUGGCUGGCUUGCUGUUCUUCGGAGUAGCACUGCUGAGGCGCGGACCUAGAGCCCACACGUUGGGACCCGAAAGAUGGUGAACUAUGCCUGGCCAGGAUGAAGCCAGAGGAAACUCUGGUGGAGGUCCGCCGCGAUUCUGACGUGCAAAUCGAUCGUCUGAGCUGGGUAUAGGGGCGAAAGACCAAUCGAACCAUCUAGUAGCUGGUUCCGCCCGAAGUUUCCCUCAGGAUAGCUGGCGCUCGUGUGAUACGGAGUUUCAUCCGGUAAAGCGAAUGAUCAGAGGAGCUGGGCUCCUUGCGAGCUCAACCUAUUCUCAAACUUUCAAUGGGUGAGACGUCUCGCUGGCUUCACUGCAGCGACGACUCUGAAUCCGAGUGCCCAGUGGGCCACUUUUGGUAAGCAGAACUGGCGAUGCGGGAUGAACCGCAUGUCGAGUUAAGGUGCCUAAGCGGACGCAAAUCAGAUACCAUGAAAGGUGUUGAUUGCUCACGACAGCAGGACGGUGGCCAUGGAAGUCGGCAUCCGCUAAGGAGUGUGUAACAACUCACCUGCCGAAGCAAUCAGCCCUGAAAAUGGAUGGCGCUAAAGCGUCCCACCGAUACUCGACCGUCGUCGGCAUGCGACAGUCUCUGUCUGUCUGAAGCCACGACGAGUAGGGCGGCGCGGUGGUGAGCGUUGAAGGCGUAGCCGUGAGGCUAGCUGGAGCCGCCAUCGGUGCAGAUCUUGGUGGUAGUAGCAAAUACACAAGCAAGAUCCUUGUGGACCGAUGUGGAGAAGGGUUCCGCGCGAACAGUAUUUGGACGUGGGUGAGUCGGCCCUAAGCCAACGGGUAAUUCCCGCAUCCCGUGUGCAUUACACGUAUGUAUAAACAACAUGGGUUGAU